AUAGAUAUUGGCUAGAAGCACGUAAGCGGAAGAGUUCCUCUGCUGCUCGAUCGUUGAGCUAAAUCGACUUUAGCAUCAACUUUGCAGGUGUUGAGAUCUCAGUUAAGAGUUAAUAUAGGCUGCUGGUGCAAGCCUCUGGUAUUGGUUCAUAGAACAGAGAUUAAGAGAGAACAAGGUUUCUUAUCAUCUUCAUUAUCAAAAUAUUGUUUACCUAGAUUGAUUCUUGUGGCUUCACUUUAUAAAUCUGAAAGCACUUUUUAAAUAUUCUGGCAUAAUUUUUAAGAUUUCUUCCUCUGUCUUGAACGUG
Molecule: long non-coding RNA, 307 nt
Filed under: Theobroma cacao (cacao)
Lineage: Eukaryota; Viridiplantae; Streptophyta; Magnoliopsida; Malvales; Malvaceae
Description: long non-coding RNA (TCAC_LNC003498)
Source: RNAcentral